Molecule: transfer RNA, 66 nt
Filed under: Empis tessellata
Lineage: Eukaryota; Metazoa; Arthropoda; Insecta; Diptera; Empididae
Description: tRNA-Cys
Source: RNAcentral
GGCUUUAUAUUCAAUAAUGAUAUUAGAUUGCAAUUCUAAAGGAGUAAUUAUAUAUUACUGAAGCUU